GACGAACGCUGGCGGCGUGCUUAACACAUGCAAGUCGAACGGAAAGGCCCUGCUUUUGUGGGGUGCUCGAGUGGCGAACGGGUGAGUAACACGUGAGUAACCUGCCCUUGACUUUGGGAUAACUUCAGGAAACUGGGGCUAAUACCGGAUAGGAGCUCCUGCUGCAUGGUGGGGGUUGGAAAGUUUCGGCGGUUGGGGAUGGACUCGCGGCUUAUCAGCUUGUUGGUGGGGUAGUGGCUUACCAAGGCUUUGACGGGUAGCCGGCCUGAGAGGGUGACCGGCCACAUUGGGACUGAGAUACGGCCCAGACUCCUACGGGAGGCAGCGGUGGGGAAUAUUGCACAAUGGGCGGAAGCCUGAUGCAGCAACGCCGCGUGCGGGAUGACGGCCUUCGGGUUGUAAACCGCUUUCGCCUGUGACGAAGCGUGAGUGACGGCAAUGGGUAAAGAAGCACCGGCUAACUACGUG
RNAcentral lists this ribosomal RNA (468 nucleotides) under uncultured bacterium. RNAcentral describes it as "partial 16S ribosomal RNA". It matches the Rfam family "Bacterial small subunit ribosomal RNA", at positions 28 to 507 of the family's 1533-position model. The record is from RNAcentral.